RNAcentral lists this transfer RNA (92 nucleotides) under Streptomyces malachitofuscus. Its description in RNAcentral is "tRNA-Ile". Lineage: Bacteria; Bacillati; Actinomycetota; Actinomycetes; Kitasatosporales; Streptomycetaceae. The record is from RNAcentral.
GUGACGCCGGGCGGCUUCGCCCGGCGUUCGGAAUGCGAACGCCCCGACAACACUUUGGUGUCGGGGCGUGUGCAUGUCAGGCGCGUCGCGCC